UUCCUCCUGCGGUGUUCGAGGCGAACCUGGAAGACUUUCGACCCUAAAUAACAGUACCGGGAUCAAUAGUCUGUCGGCAGCUUUGUGCAAGACCGCUUUAUGCGGAUAGCCUGCCCUGCCACGGCUGAUCCCACCUUUCUCUCUGGUUCGAGGGCGACGGUUCAAAACGACACAUGCGGGAGGCGC
RNAcentral lists this small RNA (186 nucleotides) under Gammaproteobacteria bacterium. Its description in RNAcentral is "6S RNA". The record is from RNAcentral. Lineage: Bacteria; Pseudomonadati; Pseudomonadota; Gammaproteobacteria.